Molecule: transfer RNA, 111 nt
Filed under: Auriscalpium vulgare
Lineage: Eukaryota; Fungi; Basidiomycota; Agaricomycetes; Russulales; Auriscalpiaceae
Description: tRNA-Glu
Rfam family: tRNA
About the family: Transfer RNA (tRNA) molecules are approximately 80 nucleotides in length. Their secondary structure includes four short double-helical elements and three loops (D, anti-codon, and T loops).
Source: RNAcentral
UCGGGUAUGGUGUAACGGCUAACAUUGCCGCCUCUCAAACCGCGAUUCGGGGAGUUCAUCCCUCAGUCAGAGUGGCCGCGGCAGCUCGGGGUUCGAUUCCCCGUACCCGAA